This 790-nucleotide long non-coding RNA is filed under the name Homo sapiens (human). Its description in RNAcentral is "HSALNT0127113". The record is from RNAcentral. Lineage: Eukaryota; Metazoa; Chordata; Mammalia; Primates; Hominidae.
CAGGGACCCACUGUACCCCAAGAGGCACUCCAAGUUUCCUUCAGAGAGGAAAAAGAGAGACGGGGCUCCUAGAACCCACUCUCCCCAAAGGCGAGUUUCCCAGGCCCGCGCGGCCGCUACCUGCAGCACUUGGCCAGGCUCUCCCGCAGCGUCUUGCGCUCCUGCAGGCGCCGCUCGUGCUGUUGCUGGAAAGCGAGCUCGCUGUAGACCGGCCGCGACACCAUGUAGCUGCAGCUGUACUCGGGGAGCUGCGGCGGCUCCGACCUGCCGCCUGGCGCUGCCAUGACCUGCGAGCCAGAGGACAGCGAGGAGGGAGGACACGCGACAAAGUUGCACAGGCUGGAGUACAGUGGUGCAAUCUCGGCUCACUGCAAUGUCCGCCUCCUGGGUUCAAGUGAUUCUCCUGCCUCAGUGGUACAAUCUUGGCUCACUGCAACGUCCGCCUCCAGGUUCAAGUGAUUCUUCUGCCUCAGCCUCCCGAGUAGCUGGGAUUACAGGCAUGAGCCACUUUGUUCCAAGAUCUCAUCCAGACAUGAUCUCAUUCUGUUGCCCAGGGUGAGUGCAGUGGCACCUUCAUGGCUCAUUGCAGUCUCGAUCUCCCAGGCUCAAGCGAUCCUCCCACCUCAGCCUCCCAAAGUGCUGGGAUUGCAGGCGUGAGCCACCUUGCCCAGCCCAUUCUGCAAUCUUCGGAAGGAAGUCACUAUAUGCAGCCUAUGCUUGAGGAGUGGGGAGUUGAAUUCCACAUCCUUGAGGGCAGAAUACCUAAAUAAAUUAUUUGGAAUUCUUCUGC